AAAAUACCUCAGGCUAAAUACUGUUAAUUUUGGGGAUGAAUAUUAAAGGUUUGACAGAGUGGACUAAUUGGGUUGUAAUUACAGGAAAGCCUAGAAUUCCUGGUUUUAAUAAAAUUACAUUGGGCUCAUUUUUAGAGGUGAUAAAGCGUCUGUUUUAAAAAUUUAGUAUUAAGGUCUUAGAAUAUAAACACAUUUUGUUACUUGUAUAGUACUAUCCAUUCCUCCUGAACUUUUAAUUAACUACUGGAAAUCCUUAACCAAUUGCAGUAGUUUAUAAAAAAAUGCCAUGAAAACACCUUCUGUUUGUCCUCUUUAUUUUCAAAAUGAUUUUGCUUGUUUUAAUUAGACAUUCUGCACUGAUUUUUUUUUUUUUUUUUUGGUACCCAUAGCUCAUCUGAAUACAGCCUUUUCUGAACUAAAAAAUUUUAAUCUGAA
RNAcentral lists this long non-coding RNA (435 nucleotides) under Bos taurus (domestic cattle). Its description in RNAcentral is "long non-coding RNA NONBTAT020491". The record is from RNAcentral. Lineage: Eukaryota; Metazoa; Chordata; Mammalia; Artiodactyla; Bovidae.